GGCUGCGCCCUUCCCGCCCAGGCGGUGUGGCUCGGCCCUUCGCGGGGACUGCUCGCCCCGGGCUUGCCGCCUCACAGUGCCCCCCCGCCCGCUGCUUCCUGCAGAGAGUGCCCUGGCGCUGGGAAGGGAAGCUCCUGAGGGACCGGCCCGGCCCUGCCUUGGCCGGCUCCCCGCCUUCAGCACCCUUUGCGCCAGUUGAAUAGGCCUAGCGACCCUCUGAUGCCUUUUGAAAGGGAGAAAGCUGAGAAGCGUCUGGGCCGCCCUUUCUCUCCGCCAGCCUCGCUCCCCUAAUGCUACAGGUGGAGCUGAGGAGCAGAAGGAGGAUUUUCCAUCCCUGGGGCAGCUUCCCUACCUUGGGCAAAGAUGAGCAGCGUUGGGAGCUGUGCAGGACCUGUGCUGGACACCCCAAAUGGCUGUUUUGUGCCAUGAUUCCUGAGACAGCUUCUGGACCAUGUCAUUGCUUCCCUGAGAGAUGGCACUGGGCACGGAGAAAGCUCUGGAACUGUUAGCAAAGAGCCCUGGGGCACAAAGCCUGGGAGUUUUGAUG
Long non-coding RNA from Pogoniulus pusillus (Red-fronted tinkerbird), 547 nucleotides. RefSeq lists it as uncharacterized. The transcript is spliced from 4 exons. The record is from RefSeq and is a predicted model, not a curated record. Lineage: Eukaryota; Metazoa; Chordata; Aves; Piciformes; Lybiidae.